GACGAACGCUGGCGGCGUGCUUAACACAUGCAAGUCGAACGGAAAGGCCCUGCUUUUGUGGGGUGCUCGAGUGGCGAACGGGUGAGUAACACGUGAGUAACCUGCCCUUGACUUUGGGAUAACUUCAGGAAACUGGGGCUAAUACCGGAUAGGAUCUCCUGCUGCAUGGUGGGGGUUGGAAAGUUUCGGCGGUUGGGGAUGGACUAGCGGCUUAUCAGCUUGUUGGUUGGGUAGUGGCUUACCAAGGCUUUGGCGGGUAGCCGGCCUGAGAGGGUGACCGGCCACAUUGGGACUGCGAUACGGACCAGACUCCUACGGGAGGCAGCAGUGGGGAAUAUUGCACAAUGGGCGGAAGCCUGAUGCAGCAACGCCGCGUUCGUGAUGACGGCCUUCGGGUUGUAAACCGCUUUCGCCUGUGACGAAGCGUGAGUGACGGUAAUGGGUAAAGAAGCACCGGCUAACUACGUG
This 468-nucleotide ribosomal RNA is filed under the name uncultured bacterium. RNAcentral's name for it is "partial 16S ribosomal RNA". It matches the Rfam family "Bacterial small subunit ribosomal RNA", at positions 28 to 507 of the family's 1533-position model. The record is from RNAcentral.